ACGUAGCGAAAUGCGAUACUUGGUGUGAAUUGCAGAAUCCCGUGAACCAUCGAGUCUUUGAACGCAAGUUGCGCCCGAAGCCAUUAGGCCGAGGGCACGCCUGCCUGGGCGUCACAC
This 117-nucleotide ribosomal RNA is filed under the name Prunus armeniaca (apricot). RNAcentral describes it as "partial 5.8S ribosomal RNA". It matches the Rfam family "5.8S ribosomal RNA", at positions 43 to 154 of the family's 154-position model. Rfam says of the family: 5.8S ribosomal RNA (5.8S rRNA) is a component of the large subunit of the eukaryotic ribosome. It is transcribed by RNA polymerase I as part of the 45S precursor that also contains 18S and 28S rRNA. The record is from RNAcentral. RNAcentral also lists the same sequence under 1 other name. Lineage: Eukaryota; Viridiplantae; Streptophyta; Magnoliopsida; Rosales; Rosaceae.